RNAcentral lists this small nuclear RNA (139 nucleotides) under Haliotis rufescens (red abalone). RNAcentral's name for it is "U4 spliceosomal RNA". It matches the Rfam family "U4 spliceosomal RNA". Rfam says of the family: U4 small nuclear RNA (U4 snRNA) is a component of the major U2-dependent spliceosome. The structure of U4 snRNA from yeast and human has been reported. Lineage: Eukaryota; Metazoa; Mollusca; Gastropoda; Lepetellida; Haliotidae. The record is from RNAcentral.
AGCUUUGCGCAGUGGCGGUACCAUAGCCAAUGAGGUCCAUCCGAGGCGUGGUUAUUGCUAGUUGAAAACUAAUCCCAAUAGCCCGCGCUGACGCCCUUCACUGGGCGGCAUGCGCAAUUUUUGUUAGCUCCUACGGGGG